GUCCAGAUGAUGAGUCCCGAAUAGGACGAAUUGCACAUCCUGGAU
RNAcentral lists this non-coding RNA (45 nucleotides) under Trichobilharzia regenti. The record is from RNAcentral. Lineage: Eukaryota; Metazoa; Platyhelminthes; Trematoda; Strigeidida; Schistosomatidae.